RNAcentral lists this ribosomal RNA (497 nucleotides) under uncultured bacterium. RNAcentral's name for it is "partial 16S ribosomal RNA". It matches the Rfam family "Bacterial small subunit ribosomal RNA", at positions 28 to 507 of the family's 1533-position model. The record is from RNAcentral.
GAUGAACGCUGGCGGCGUGCCUAAUACAUGCAAGUCGAGCGAACAGACGAGGAGCUUGCUCCUCUGACGUUAGCGGCGGACGGGUGAGUAACACGUGUAUAACCUACCUAUAAGACUGGUAUAACUUCGGGAAACCGGAGCUAAUACCGGAUAAUAUAUUGAACCGCAUGGUUCAAUAGUGAAAGACGGUUUUGCUGUCACUUAUAGAUGGAUCCGCGCCGCAUUAGCUAGUUGGUAAGGUAACAGCUUACCAAGGCAACGAUGCGUAGCCGACCUGAGAGGGUGAUCGGCCACACUGGAACUGAGACACGGACCAGACUCCUACGGGAGGCAGCAGUAGGGAAUCUUCCGCAAUGGGCGAAAGCCUGACGGAGCAACGCCGCGUGAGUGAUGACGGUCUUCGGAUCGUAAAACUCUGUUAUUAGGGAAGAACAAAUGUGUAAGUAACUAUGCACGUCUUGACGGUACCUAAUCAGAAAGCCCCGGCUAACUACGUG